GUCCAGGGAUGGGAAUCGAACCCACAGUGUUCCGCUUACCUGGACAGAUGCCAUGUCCGCUAGGCUACCCUGGA
This 74-nucleotide transfer RNA is filed under the name Cordylochernes scorpioides. RNAcentral's name for it is "tRNA-Thr". The record is from RNAcentral. Lineage: Eukaryota; Metazoa; Arthropoda; Arachnida; Pseudoscorpiones; Chernetidae.